Molecule: ribosomal RNA, 506 nt
Filed under: uncultured bacterium
Lineage: Bacteria
Description: partial 16S ribosomal RNA
Rfam family: Bacterial small subunit ribosomal RNA
Source: RNAcentral
AGUGAACGCUGGCGGUAGGCCUAACACAUGCAAGUCGAACGGCAGCACAGGAGAGCUUGCUCUCUGGGUGGCGAGUGGCGGACGGGUGAGGAAUACAUCGGAAUCUACUUUUUCGUGGGGGAUAACGUAGGGAAACUUACGCUAAUACCGCAUACGACCUACGGGUGAAAGCAGGGGACCUUCGGGCCUUGCGCGAUUGAAUGAGCCGAUGUCGGAUUAGCUAGUUGGCGGGGUAAAGGCCCACCAAGGCGACGAUCCGUAGCUUGUCUGAGAGGAGGACCAGCCACACUGGAACUGUGACACGGUCCAGACUCCUACGGGAGGCAGCAGUGGGGAAUAUUGGACAAUGGGCGCAAGCCUGAUCCAGCCAUACCGCGUGGGUGAAGAAGGCCUUCGGGUUGUAAAGCCCUUUUGUUGGGAAAGAAAUCCAGCCGGCUAAUACCUGGUUGGGAUGACGGUACCCAAAGAAUAAGCACCGGCUAACUUCGUGCCAGCCGCCGCCGUAA